AAGUCGUAACAAGGUUUCCGUAGGUGAACCUGCGGAAGGAUCAUUACAAAUCUCUGUCUUGCUUGGGAGGCGUCCGUCUUCGGGUCGGGCGCUGACUAGCAGACACAUAUGCACAGGGCCGCAAGGCUCUGAUGUUUACGCUUGUUUGUUUGACAGAUUUAUUAUGUGACUAAACUUGACAACUUUUAACAAUGGAUCUCUUGGCUCUU
This 209-nucleotide unclassified non-coding RNA is filed under the name fungal sp. RNAcentral describes it as "partial internal transcribed spacer region". The stretch from base 1 to 46 matches the Rfam family "Eukaryotic small subunit ribosomal RNA", at positions 1786 to 1831 of the family's 1831-position model. Lineage: Eukaryota; Fungi. The record is from RNAcentral.